Molecule: ribosomal RNA, 292 nt
Filed under: uncultured bacterium
Lineage: Bacteria
Description: partial 16S ribosomal RNA
Rfam family: Bacterial small subunit ribosomal RNA
Source: RNAcentral
GUGCCAGCCGCCGCGGUAAUACGGAGGGUGCAAGCGUUGUUCGGAAUUACUGGGCGUAAAGGGCGCGUAGGCGGCUAGGGAAGUCCGGUGUGAAAGCCCGGGGCUCAACCCCGGAAGUGCAUUGGAAACUCCCUGGCUUGAGUUCGGGAGAGGAGGGCAGAAUUCCCGGUGUAGGGGUGAAAUCCGUAGAUAUCGGGAGGAAAACCAGUGGCGAAGGCGGCCCUCUGGAACAGAACUGACGCUGAGGCGCGAAAGCGUGGGGAGCAAACAGGAUUAGAUACCCGGGUAGUCC